RNAcentral lists this long non-coding RNA (783 nucleotides) under Musa acuminata (dwarf banana). Its description in RNAcentral is "long non-coding RNA (MACU_LNC001821)". Lineage: Eukaryota; Viridiplantae; Streptophyta; Magnoliopsida; Zingiberales; Musaceae. The record is from RNAcentral.
UGUUGUUUCGUCUCUCUCUCUCUCUCUCUCUCUCUCUCUCUCUCUCUCUCUUUCUUCUUUCUUAGUUGUAUGAGUUUACUUCCCAUAAUUCUGUCUCCGUUGUUUUCGUUUCUGUUUGUUUGCUUUUUGGUGUUAAGUGUAGAAAGAGUGAAGAAGAAGAAGGAGAAGGUAAAGGUGGUUGGCCAACUUCUAAGAGAGAAGGCAUGGAGGGGUUGGGUGGGCGGGUGGGUGGGCGGAGAUGGGACAGAUAAGAAGUCGCUAUACAUGAUGAGAGAGAGAGAGAGAGAGCGAGAGAGAGUAAUGGUCAAAUGAAUGGUAAGAGUGACAUCGCAAUCUGGUGGAGUUCACAAGCAGAGACAGAUCACAUCAGAGAUAUCAGAAAACAGCAGCAGAUCAGAGUUCUUAAGCUGCUUGAUUUGCUUCUUCAGCGUCUGUAAUCUGCGCGAGGAGAAGGGAGUGCCAUAGACCAUAACAGAAAGAGUUCUUAAGCUGCUUGAUUUGCUUCCUCAGAGCCUGCAAUCUUGUGUUAGAAGAAGGAAGUGACAGAUACCAGAGAGAAGCAGCAGCAGUUGCAGUCGCACUGUAGUUUUAAGCUUCUCUAUAGCCUGUAAAUAUGUGCCAAAAGAAGGGAGUGAUGCAUCGAUGGGUAUGAGUUCCAUUAACAAAAACUUAAUCUAUCAAGUUAUGGAUUGAAUUUAAUGUAUAUCAUUCAAUCCUUGAACACCUUUAAUCUUCAUCUGCAUACCAAUACUGUCCUGUUUCCAACAUCUUAUACAUGCAUGG